GGUUUGAUCAUGGCUCAGAUUGAACGCUGGCGGGAUGCUUUACACAUGCAAGUCGAACGGCAGCACGGACUUCGGUCUGGUGGCGAGUGGCGAACGGGUGAGUAAUGUAUCGGAACGUGCCUAGUAAGUGGGAUAACCACGCGAAAGCGUAGCUAAUACCGCAUACGCCCUUCGGGGGAAAGUGGGGACCUUCGGGCCUCGCACUAUUAGAGCGGCCGAUAUCGGAUUAGCCAGCGGUGGGGUAACGGAUCACCAAGGCGACGAUCCGUAGCUGGUUUGAGAGGACGACCAGCCACACUGGACCGGAGACACGGCCCAGACUCCUACGGGAGGCAGCAGUGGGGAAUUUUGGACAAUGUGGGGGGAAACCCUGAUCCAGCCAUCCCGCGUGUGCGAUGAAGGCCUUCGGGUUGUAAAGCACUUUUGGCAGGAAAGAAACGGCACGGGAUAAUACCUCGUGCAACUGACGGUACCUGCAGAAUAAGCACCGGCUAACUACGUGCCAGCAGCCGCGGUAAUACGUAGGGUGCAAGCAGCAACAUG
RNAcentral lists this unclassified non-coding RNA (543 nucleotides) under uncultured Bordetella sp. RNAcentral describes it as "partial 16S-23S ribosomal RNA intergenic spacer". It matches the Rfam family "Bacterial small subunit ribosomal RNA", at positions 10 to 546 of the family's 1533-position model. Lineage: Bacteria; Pseudomonadati; Pseudomonadota; Betaproteobacteria; Burkholderiales; Alcaligenaceae. The record is from RNAcentral.